CCCUUAUCCUGUCAUGACAUGCCCUUGUAAAAAGUCCAUCUCCAGAUCUCUUGUCAAGCUCCUUUAUGUAUCAGAAGCUGCUAUGAGCCUUCUUUUGCCUAUGCUGAACAACCCCAGCUCUGUCUUCACAAGAAGAAAACCUGUUCCAGCAUCCUGACCAUUUCCAUGGCCUCCCCUAGACCUGCUCCAACAGGCCUUGUGCUGGGGAUCCUGAGCUGGAUACCGCACUCAGGUGGGUCUCACGAGUGGACCAGAAGGGGACGAUCAUCUUCCUGCACCUCCAACUGGUCUCGCUGCGCUCCACAAGGCCCACACGGGCCUGCUCCCCCACCUCGGGGCCGACACCGGGGACACCCCGACCGGCUGCUGCCCUCUCCCGGAGACCCCGCACGACCCCUCUCGGCACAGGCCGCCGGUCUGCGAGGCCAGAGCCCGGUUCGCCCUCCCGCCAUAGAGGAGCCCGAUACUCGCCCCUCAAGGCCAGACCGGGGUCCGCUGGACCGCUCCCACCCUCCCUUUCCGAGGCGCCAGGCGGUGCCGGGGCGGGCCGACUCCUCUCCCCGCCCUCGGCCUCUUUGUGCCGCCCGCCCCAGCACCACGCUGCCCUCCGCCUCGCUUCGCUUCGCCUCGCCUCGCCGCGGCGCUGCCCGCCCGGCUCCGGCUGAGGGGAUCGGCGGGUCAGCCCGCCUCCAUCCCCGCCCCGCCUUGCCUCGUCUCGUCUCUCUGCCCCCUGUGCGGGCUUCUCACCGCCCCUUCCUCCGGGCUGUGUGUCAGCCCGUCCUGUUCGCUGCCCCUCGGCUGUCUCCGGAGCUUCCCCACUGCCCGCCCGGGAUGGCGUCGCUGGCAGCGCCUUGAGCCGGCCGGGGCGAGCCCUCCGCCGCCGGAGGAGGAGAGAUGAACCGCUUCCAGCCCGGGGUCGCGCUGCUGCUCUCGCUGCUGUGGGAGAUGUCGCUCCUAUGAGGAUUGCUGUGGUUCAAGAUGCUGUGUGAGAGCUCUCUCUAUCCAGAGACUAUGGUAUUUUUGGU
RNA transcript from Neopsephotus bourkii (Bourke's parrot), 1025 nucleotides. It is a transcript of the gene named VOPP1 WW domain binding protein, with no coding region annotated. The record is from RefSeq and is a predicted model, not a curated record. NCBI's taxonomy places the organism in Eukaryota, Metazoa, Chordata, Aves, Psittaciformes, Psittacidae. The transcript has 2 exons.